AAAAAGAUAAGCUAAUAAAGCUACUGGGCUCAUACUUCACUUAUAAGGGUUAAAUCCUUUUCUUUUUA
RNAcentral lists this transfer RNA (68 nucleotides) under Trixa longipennis. RNAcentral describes it as "tRNA-Met". It matches the Rfam family "tRNA". From Rfam's summary of the family: Transfer RNA (tRNA) molecules are approximately 80 nucleotides in length. Lineage: Eukaryota; Metazoa; Arthropoda; Insecta; Diptera; Tachinidae. The record is from RNAcentral.